Long non-coding RNA from Solanum dulcamara, 976 nucleotides. RefSeq lists it as uncharacterized. The transcript has 4 exons. NCBI's taxonomy places the organism in Eukaryota, Viridiplantae, Streptophyta, Magnoliopsida, Solanales, Solanaceae. The record is from RefSeq and is a predicted model, not a curated record.
ACCGAAUACCGAAUUAUUUCUGUUGGGCUCCUAAAAAUUCCUUUUAAUUUUUAAACAUAAAGGGCUAUAGGCCCAUUCCUAUAAUUUAAUCCAGCCCAAGCCCAAUUGUCUUCAACAUACCCUAACUCCCUAAGUGAAGUCCCUAACAGACUAACACUUAACCUAUUCAGUAUUCAUCUCAAUACUUCACUACUAUUGAAGUUCUGCUUCUGCCAUUCACGCCUCCUUCACUUCAGCCCUUCAACUUCACUACUACAGUUUGCCCCAUGGAAUCCAUCAGAAGUGCUUAUAACUUCAGCUGAUUCUCGUAUCAGAAUUUUUGACGGAUCAGAUAUGAUCUAUAAGUUUAGAGGUGCUGUUGACUGUUGUGUGUAGUGUUGCAGCUUGUGUCUAGAAUUUGAUAAUAAUUUGACCAUAAUUAACAGACAACUUGGUUGGAACCCAAAGACAUCCCUAUGGGACUUGCUUGAAUCCACACCCACAUACCAACAUAGGACAUAUGCUGAGGCUGUCAAGCAGGCAAUGUCAAAGACAACUGCAAAUUGAAUGAAGUCAGGAACAGAGCUUUACUGUAUGCUUCAUGUUGGCAGGCUUUCAUAUUCUUUUGAAGAAUCUUCAUCUACUCGGUUUGACUUCAUCCACGUUAUUCUUUUUGUCAUCCACUUCAUGCAAAGGUCAUGGCCAUAAACAUCAUGUUUUCGUGUCAUAUGUAGUGUAAUGCCAUUAAAGCCUUAGCUACAACAGUUUUCGACACAUUAGUCAAAGGAAGCCUGCAAUCUGCUCAUAGAAGUUUUGUUGUCAUUAUAUUAUCAUUCUUCGGUAUGGAAGUAUGUUGUAUCAUUCCACUGAGAUUUUCCUAAUCUAUUACUUUAUUUGUUUGAUUAAACUGUCCUUUUACUUUAUUGUCUAUGUUAGAUAAUGUUAAUCUCCCAAGUACUUGUUUUUACAAUAUAUAUGACUUCUCCAAUUUUCUGUA